Molecule: ribosomal RNA, 906 nt
Filed under: uncultured Nanoarchaeota archaeon
Lineage: Archaea; Nanobdellati; Nanobdellota
Description: partial 16S rRNA
Rfam family: Archaeal small subunit ribosomal RNA
Source: RNAcentral
AGGUACUGCUAUCGGGGUCAGACUAAGCCAUGCAAGUCUUGGGGCCAGAGCUGGCUGGUCCCGGCGCACGGCUGAGUAACACGUGGCCAACCUACCCUCGGGAGGGGGAUAACCCCGGGAAACUGGGGCUAAUACCCCAUAGGUGAGGAGUGCUGGGAUGCCCCUCACCGAAAGGGUGCGGUCCCAUGCUGACCGUUACCGCCCGAGGAUGGGGCUGCGGCGGAUUAGGUAGUUGGUGGGGUAACGGCCCACCAAGCCGACGAUCCGUAGGGGCCAUGUGAGUGGGGGCCCCCAGAAGGGCACUGAGACAAGGGCCCUAGCCCUACGGGGUGCAGCAGGCGCGAAACCUCCGCAAUGCGGGAAACCGUGACGGGGUGACCCCGAGUGCCAGAGGGGGAAUCCUCUCUGGCUUUUCCCCGAUGUAAACAGUCGGGGGAAUAAGCGGGGGGCAAGGCGCGUGGCAGCCGCCGCGGUAACACGUCGCUCCGCAAGUGGUACCCGCGAAUAUUGGGCCUAAAGCGUCCGUAGCCGGCCUGGCAAGUCCUCGGUUAAAUCGGCGGGCUUAACCCGUCGGCUGCCGGGGAUACUGCCAGGCUCGGGACCGGGAGAGGCCGAGGGUAUUCCCGGGGUAGGGGUAAAAUCCUGUAAUCCCGGGAGGACCACCUGUGGCGAAGGCGCUCGGCCAGAACGGGUCCGACGGUGAGGGACGAAAGCUGGGGGAUCAAACCGGAUUAGAGACCCGGGUAGUCCCAGCUGUCAACCAUGCGGACUAGGUGUCGCGCGAGCUACGUGCUCGCGCGGUGCCGGAGGGAAGCCGUUAAGUCCGCCGCCUGGGGAGUACGGCCGCAAGGCUGAAACCUAAAGGAAUUGGCGGGGGAGCACUACAAGGGGUGGAGGGUGCGGUUC